RNAcentral lists this ribosomal RNA (497 nucleotides) under uncultured bacterium. Its description in RNAcentral is "bacterial SSU rRNA". It matches the Rfam family "Bacterial small subunit ribosomal RNA", at positions 791 to 1286 of the family's 1533-position model. The record is from RNAcentral.
UAGUCCAUGCUGUAAACGAUGAAUACUAGCCGUUAGAACUAUAAAGAGUUUUAGUGGUGGAGCUAACGUAUUAAGUAUUCCGCCUGGGGAGUACGGUCGCAAGAUUAAAACUCAAAGGAAUUGACGGGGGCCCGCACAAGCGGUGGAGCAUGUGGUUUAAUUCGAUGCAACGCGAAGAACCUUACCUGCGCUUGACAUACUCAGAAUCCUACCUAAUAGUAGGAGUGCCGUAAGGAGCUGAGAUACAGGUGCUGCAUGGCUGUCGUCAGCUCGUGUCAUGAGAUGUUGGGUUAAGUCCCGUAACGAGCGCAACCCUUGUCUUUAGUUGCCAGCAUGUAAUGAUGGGGACUCUAAAGAGACUGCCGGUGUUAAGCUGGAGGAAGGUGGGGACGAUGUCAAGUCAUCAUGGCCUUUAUGCGCAGGGCUACACACGUGCUACAAUGGACUAAACAGAGGGCAGCGAAACGGAGACGUGGAGCGAAUCUCACAAAUUAGUU